AUUUACACUGAAGGGCACAGCGAAGGUGGCAGCAUGUCCUUCUUGUCUCCCUGUCCCGUGUAACGGGGAUUUUAUGGGCACUGCUGGCUGCCAAAGCUUCUCAGUCCUUAAAAAAAAGGAAUCCUGCAAGUAUGACCAGCUGGGAGACGCUGUUGGGCUCAUGCACACACCCUCAUCCCCAUGGAUCGCUUCCUACUGGGAAGAGUCCUCUGAAUCACUCCCUGGGGAAGGCACUUGUUGUCCUCCAGUGCCACUUCCCUGGGGAAUGAGGAAUCACCUUCUGAACUGGGGCUGGAGCUGUGCUGGGGCAGGGGGACAUUCCCAGCCACAUCGUGCCCCUGGCAAAAAUGCAACACCAACAUCCCCUCCUUAGCCAGAGUCCUCUUUGUCUCCCAGGAAAGCAGAAGGAACGGGCUUUGCUGCUUCUCCAAAAUUCAGGGAGUGCUGGAUACCUACUGGGACUCUUAUCACACACUGCAGGGAAGAGCUCCAGAGGGAUACAUGGAAUAUUGUUAUCGGCUUGGAGGGCAGUGACGCACCCUUGGUGCUCGGCGAGUUUCUUACACAGCACCCCAAACUCCAGCCUUGCCCUGUGAUGACCCAUCCCUUCAUGCCAGUGAUGGAAUGGCUGCAUCCAGACGUGCCAGGGAGCCCUGAGCCCACGAUGUGACAGCCCAAGCCAGCUUUGAAACCGUGUCUCUGGAGGUGUCAUAGAUGGCUCUGAGCAGACUGCAAGGUGCCCUUAAUGCACUGAUGUUAUAGAACUGGGAUUGCUGGAUCACCCUGAAAAAAUUCAGAGUAUUGAGGUCUCCACAUAGAAUCACAGAAUGGUUUGGGAUGGAAGGGACCUUAGAGAUCAUCUAGUUCCAACUCCCUGCUAUGGAUAUCUUCACAUCCAAUAAUGUCUGGGGUCUCUGAAGAUGUAUUAGGUCUGGAAAACUAAUCUAGGAAAAUUUUUUCAAAGCAAAACACACCUGGGAUUUACUCAGGACCUGAUCCAAACUCCCCUGAGAUGGUCAAGAGCCAGCUGGUGGCCUCAGCCUCAUUUGACUCUUCUGCGCUGUCUGCAGUUGUUCCAAGCUCAGCUGAUCCUCUUGUGCUGGCUCAAGGAAAGUGAUCAUAAUCCUCAAAGUGUUCCAAGGAGGAUAAGAGCAGGAUUUGAUACUGCAGGGAUUGUGAGUGGCUGGCACGGGAGGGGUUGGCAAAGCUUGGAUCUCACAGUAACAGGAGCAGUGAUGCCACCUGGGGUGGAAACACCAAACAUUGGUUUAAGCCAGGGUUGGAGGUGCCUGGCUCUCAUUGGCAUUGCCAGGGACUGGGUACCUUUAAACAUUUUUUAGGUGUUGGGUGGGGGUUGAACUGGUUCUGGUUGGGGCAAGGCAGGGAUGUUCCAGCUGGGAAAGGACAACCCACAGCAGCACUCCAGUUAAGGAGGACAUCCCCUGGGCUGUGACAAUGGUGAAAAUGCUCAAAGUCUGCUCUGGUGAAAAGUGCACCAGACACCAGGUAAAAGCUAUCAGGAAUUGAGAAAUCCAACAUGCAGAAGUGAAAGGCACGUUUGAAUUUAAUCCCUCGGAAUUACGAGAAGCAUAAAAGUCCCGUUAUGGGAUGGCACAAUGUAUUAGCAGUCAUAGGUGUUAAAUCAAACCAAGGUGCAUGAUGUUAAUAGGCAAAGUGACUGUGUUUAAACAGUUGUCUACUUACUAAAUCUCUAAUUAAGGACAUGCAAACCAAGUGGCGAAGAUUUUCCACUAAACAUGAUAAAUUGUGAUUAGCAGAAUGUUUUUAAUGUGCUGCAGAGCAAGCCAGUUUUAUGAAAAAAGAGCAGAAACCACCCAAAUUUCUCCCAGCAGCUUUACCUGUAAUGACAGUGGUACCUCUGCAGGUCACAAUAAAUUGAUUUUUGCUGUGUGUUUUAACCUCUGACUGCAGUUUGGAUCCUAAUUUUUCUGGUUUUACAGCCCUUCUUUACAGCAUCUUUUGGGAUUUAUCUCAAACGGGCCAGACAAGCUGGAAGUGACUUUUUGGAAGCUGCCUCAUGACUUUCUGCCUGGAUUGAGGGUGAUGUGAGUGUGAGUAUUUUCCUGCUACAGCACAACCCUCCACAGGAAUAAGUGCACUUACUUGACUCAAUCAGCCAUCUGUGACUCCAUCAGCCACAGUGGAAACUAAUGGUAAUUGCCAAUUGUUAACCAGACAAUAGCAGAUGCUAACUUUAAUAUCCAACAGUGCUCUUCCGAGCAUCUUUUAUGGAGACAUGGCCUCACUUUAAUACGUGUUUUCUUUCUCCAAAAUAAGGCAACUUAGUAAAGGCUGAUUAGCCCAGGGAGCUAUGUGACUUGAAGCAAUGAACUUCCAGGAAUGGCAGCCCAUGUGCUGUUUCUGGGCCAGAAUGUCUACAAUGUGAAAAUUUAGAAGACUGGAUUUAAAAUUCUUCUCGGAAUGCAGUUUUUUUCCAGUGAAAUUUCACAAAGAGCCAAGUCCUGGAUGCUAACACGAGAGCGAUGCCUUUCCUGGCAGUGUCCUUGCCUCCUAUUAGAUAAUCAAUUAGUCUCAGAACAUUAAAAAGCAAAAUGCUGCAACAGGAUUUUCCACCAAAUUCAAAAAUAUUUACUGAAGGAUUUCAUUGCUCCUGUUUAUUUACACGGAGGCCCGAAGGCUGCACGACAUAAUGCUGCUGCUCUGGCACCAAGGCAGCUCUGCAGCCUCAGCCCCGAAGGACAUCUGGAGUUUCUGGGUCGCAGCAGUUCCUUUUUGCAGAAAUUUGCUCAUGGAAAGUAAUGAAUGAGCCCAUUUUCACUUCGACUGGGGCCUGCAGUCUACAGGAGACAUUAGGAGCAAUUUGUAGUCAACGUGCAGGUCUGUUCCAUCUAAAAUAUUAUCAAUGAGCUUGUCAACCCGAGCCUUAACCUUCUUUGUUAUUUUCAUCUGCUCCUCUCUCAGAUGUCUCUCCUCGUACCCAUAACCUCUGAAGACUGGCAACAGGAUGUCAUACACCUGUUUUGCUCAAGGCUGGGACUCGGAGCCCUGCGCGAGGUUGUGUCGGCAUUGGCUCGCUCGCUGCUUUGCUCAACGUAUAUGUCAGAAUGUCAGAUGAUCGUUGUUGUAUCUGCAGCUGUUGCAUGAGCAGAGUGCCAGGGGCACAACUUUCCUGCAGUGAGCUUUAAUUUGCUCUCCCCUCCCUGAAGAGCUCCCGCGCUUCACCUUGCUGCUGCUGCUGCAGCUGGAGGAGAGCUCAGCCCGCGUGCAGCUGAGCCUGCGGCACGGGAGGCAGGGAGGGAGGCAAGGAGGGAGG
Molecule: long non-coding RNA, 3295 nt
Organism: Corvus hawaiiensis (hawaiian crow)
Lineage: Eukaryota; Metazoa; Chordata; Aves; Passeriformes; Corvidae
Exons: 5
Source: RefSeq, a predicted model, not a curated record